ACAGGGGCCAUGAUGGGCCAGUGCGAAGGAAAACUGUUCAAACCAAAGUGAAAAAGCAAAUAUGGCAAGUUCCUCCACCCAGCCAAGCCCUACUCAAGGAAAUGGGACAGCCAAGCUGGAGCAUGAGGCCUUCAUGCUCUGCAGAAUGAGGAAAACAAUACAGAGGGCAGGUUACUUGGGGAACUCCUGUGAGCCACGUUCCAGUCAGUGGCAUCUGUAUGGACUUCAGAGCAGAAAGAGCUUCUGUGGGUUGUAAAAGAAUGCCAGUGCGCUGCUGAGCUGAAGCAUGAAACUUGUGUUGGUCUUGCGGUUUGGCUUUCGGGAUAAGAGGUACUCAUUCAUGUCUCCUCCAUCACAGAAAUCCAUUACAAACCACAGGUGCAAAGCGUAUCAAGUCCACGCUCCUGCCCAGAAGCUAGAGCUAGCCCCAGAUAACAGUAUUUUGGCAGAUACCAACAGGACACUGCACUCACAUCUGUUUCAGCUGGACACUGUCCCACCCCAACACAACCCGUCCCGCUCGCUUCGCUAACAAUUUGAAUGUACAAAUAAAUCCUCAACCAGUAACUUCCUACAGUGUCAGGGGUUGAAGUUGUCCUCCCUAAGCAGCGAGGAGCUCAAGCAGCCAGGAGCUCAAGCAGCCAGUUCUAAAUAGCUGUUUUGUACAGACAAGCAAAGUAAGAGCAGCAAUCAGUUUUACCAAUCCUGUUUACACCACUAACAUUUACCUCUUCAGUUCCUCUGAGGUGCCUCCUGGCACGCUCAGGGAAAACC
This is a long non-coding RNA of Colius striatus (speckled mousebird), 774 nucleotides long. RefSeq lists it as uncharacterized. The transcript is spliced from 3 exons. The record is from RefSeq and is a predicted model, not a curated record. NCBI's taxonomy places the organism in Eukaryota, Metazoa, Chordata, Aves, Coliiformes, Coliidae.